GACGAACGCUGGCGGCGUGCCUAAUACAUGCAAGUAGAACGCUGAGGAGCGGAGCUUGCUCUUCUUGGAUGAGUCGCGAACGGGUGAGUAACGCGUAGGUAACCUGCCUGGUAGCGGGGGAUAACUAUUGGAAACGAUAGCUAAUACCGCAUAAAAUUCAUCAUCGUGUGAUAAUUAAUUGAAAGAUGCAACUGCAUCACUACCAGAUGGACCUGCGGUGUAUUAGCGAGUUGGUGAGGUAACAGCUCACCAAGGCGACGAUACGUAGCAAACCUGAGAGGGUGGGCGGCCACACUGGGAGUGUGACCCGGCCCAGUCUCCUUCGGGUGGCAGCAGUAGGGAAUCUUCGGCAAGGGGGGGGAACUUGACCGCGCUACGCCGCGGGAGUGAAGAAGGUUUUCGGAUCGUAAAGCUCUGUUGUAAGAGAAGAACGGGUGUUCGAGUGGAAAGUUCACACUGUGACGGUAUCUUACCAGAAAGGGCCGGCUAACUACGUG
RNAcentral lists this ribosomal RNA (497 nucleotides) under uncultured bacterium. RNAcentral's name for it is "partial 16S ribosomal RNA". It matches the Rfam family "Bacterial small subunit ribosomal RNA", at positions 28 to 507 of the family's 1533-position model. The record is from RNAcentral.